RNAcentral lists this ribosomal RNA (492 nucleotides) under uncultured bacterium. RNAcentral's name for it is "partial 16S ribosomal RNA". It matches the Rfam family "Bacterial small subunit ribosomal RNA", at positions 29 to 507 of the family's 1533-position model. The record is from RNAcentral.
AGUGAACGCUGGCGGUAGGCCUAACACAUGCAAGUCGAACGGCAGCACAGUAAGAGCUUGCUCUUACGGGUGGCGAGUGGCGGACGGGUGAGGAAUACAUCGGAAUCUACUUUUUCGUGGGGGAUAACGUAGGGAAACUUACGCUAAUACCGCAUACGACCUACGGGUGAAAGCAGGGGAUCUUCGGACCUUGCGCGAUUGAAUGAGCCGAUGUCGGAUUAGCUAGUUGGCGGGGUAAAGGCCCACCAAGGCGACGAUCCGUAGCUGGUCUGAGAGGAUGAUCAGCCACACUGGAACUGAGACACGGUCCAGACUCCUACGGGAGGCAGCAGUGGGGAAUAUUGGGCAAUGGGCGCAAGCCUGAUCCAGCCAUACCGCGUGGGUGAAGAAGGCCUUCGGGUUGUAAAGCCCUUUUGUUGGGAAAGAAAAGCAGCAGGUUAAUACCCCGCUAUUCUGACGGUACCCAAAGAAUAAGCACCGGCUAACUUCGUG